AUAGAGUCAAGUGAAUAAGUGCAUCAGGCGGAUGCCUUGGCGAUGAUAGGCGACGAAGGACGUGUAAGCCUGCGAAAAGCGCGGGGGAGCUGGCAAUAAAGCUAUGAUUCCGCGAUGUCCGAAUGGGGAAACCCACUGCAUUCUGUGCAGUAUCCUAAGUUGAAUACAUAGGCUUAGAGAAGCGAACCCGGAGAACUGAACCAUCUAAGUACCCGGAGGAAAAGAAAUCAACCGAGAUUCCGCAAGUAGUGGCGAGCGAACGCGGAGGAGCCUGUACGUAAUAACUGUCGAGAUAGAAGAACAAGCUGGGAAGCUUGACCAUAGCGGGUGACAGUCCCGUAUUCGAAAUCUCAACAGCGGUACUAAGCGUACGAAAAGUAGGGCGGGACACGUGAAAUCCUGUCUGAAUAUGGGGGGACCAUCCUCCAAGGCUAAAUACUCAUCAUCGACCGAUAGUGAACCAGUACCGUGAGGGAAAGGCGAAAAGAACCCCGGGAGGGGAGUGAAACAGAACCUGAAACCUGAUGCAUACAAACAGUGGGAGCGCCCUAGUGGUGUGACUGCGUACCUUUUGUAUAAUGGGUCAACGACUUACAUUCAGUAGCGAGCUUAACCGGAUAGGGGAGGCGUAGGGAAACCGAGUCUUAAUAGGGCGAUGAGUUGCUGGGUGUAGACCCGAAACCGAGUGAUCUAUCCAUGGUCAGGUUGAAGGUGCCGUAACAGGUACUGGAGGACCGAACCCACGCAUGUUGCAAAAUGCGGGGAUGAGCUGUGGGUAGGGGUGAAAGGCUAAACAAACUCGGAGAUAGCUGGUUCUCCCCGAAAACUAUUUAGGUAGUGCCUCGAGCAAGACACUGAUGGGGGUAAAGCACUGUUAUGGCUAGGGGGUUAUUGCAACUUACCAACCCAUGGCAAACUCAGAAUACCAUCAAGUGGUUCCUCGGGAGACAGACAGCGGGUGCUAACGUCCGUUGUCAAGAGGGAAACAACCCAGACCGCCGGCUAAGGUCCCAAAUGAUAGAUUAAGUGGUAAACGAAGUGGGAAGGCACAGACAGCCAGGAUGUUGGCUUAGAAGCAGCCAUCAUUUAAAGAAAGCGUAAUAGCUCACUGGUCGAGUCGUCCUGCGCGGAAGAUGUAACGGGGCUCAAAUCUAUAACCGAAGCUGCGGAUGCCGGUUUACCGGCAUGGUAGGGGAGCGUUCUGUAGGCUGAUGAAGGUGCAUUGUAAAGUGUGCUGGAGGUAUCAGAAGUGCGAAUGUUGACAUGAGUAGCGAUAAAGCGGGUGAAAAGCCCGCUCGCCGAAAGCCCAAGGUUUCCUACGCAACGUUCAUCGGCGUAGGGUAAGUCGGCCCCUAAGGCGAGGCAGAAAUGCGUAGUCGAUGGGAAACAGGUUAAUAUUCCUGUACUUGAUUCAAAUGCGAUGUGGGGACGGAGAAGGUUAGGUUGGCAAGCUGUUGGAAUAGCUUGUUUAAGCCGGUAGGUGGAAGACUUAGGCAAAUCCGGGUUUUCUUAACACCGAGAAGUGAUGACGAGUGUCUACGGACACGAAGCAACCGAUACCACGCUUCCAGGAAAAGCCACUAAGCUUCAGUUUGAAUCGAACCGUACCGCAAACCGACACAGGUGGGCAGGAUGAGAAUUCUAAGGCGCUUGAGAGAACUCGGGAGAAGGAACUCGGCAAAUUGAUACCGUAACUUCGGGAGAAGGUAUGCCCUCUAAGGUUAAGGACUUGCUCCGUAAGCCCCGGAGGGUCGCAGAGAAUAGGUGGCUGCGACUGUUUAUUAAAAACACAGCACUCUGCCAACACGAAAGUGGACGUAUAGGGUGUGACGCCUGCCCGGUGCCGGAAGGUUAAUUGAAGAUGUGCAAGCAUCGGAUCGAAGCCCCGGUAAACGGCGGCCGUAACUAUAACGGUCCUAAGGUAGCGAAAUUCCUUGUCGGGUAAGUUCCGACCCGCACGAAUGGCGUAACGAUGGCCACACUGUCUCCUCCCGAGACUCAGCGAAGUUGAAGUGGUUGUGAAGAUGCAAUCUACCCGCUGCUAGACGGAAAGACCCCGUGAACCUUUACUGUAGCUUUGCAUUGGACUUUGAAGUCACUUGUGUAGGAUAGGUGGGAGGCUUGGAAGCAGAGACGCCAGUCUCUGUGGAGUCGUCCUUGAAAUACCACCCUGGUGUCUUUGAGGUUCUAACCCAGACCCGUCAUCCGGGUCGGGGACCGUGCAUGGUAGGCAGUUUGACUGGGGCGGUCUCCUCCCAAAGCGUAACGGAGGAGUUCGAAGGUUACCUAGGUCCGGUCGGAAAUCGGACUGAUAGUGCAAUGGCAAAAGGUAGCUUAACUGCGAGACCGACAAGUCGGGCAGGUGCGAAAGCAGGACAUAGUGAUCCGGUGGUUCUGUAUGGAAGGGCCAUCGCUCAACGGAUAAAAGGUACUCCGGGGAUAACAGGCUGAUUCCGCCCAAGAGUUCAUAUCGACGGCGGAGUUUGGCACCUCGAUGUCGGCUCAUCACAUCCUGGGGCUGUAGUCGGUCCCAAGGGUAUGGCUGUUCGCCAUUUAAAGUGGUACGUGAGCUGGGUUUAAAACGUCGUGAGACAGUUUGGUCCCUAUCUGCAGUGGGCGUUGGAAGUUUGACGGGGGCUGCUCCUAGUACGAGAGGACCGGAGUGGACGAACCUCUGGUGUACCGGUUGUAACGCCAGUUGCAUAGCCGGGUAGCUAAGUUCGGAAGAGAUAAGCGCUGAAAGCAUCUAAGCGCGAAACUCGCCUGAAGAUGAGACUUCCCUUGCGGUUUAACCGCACUAAAGGGUUGUUCGAGACCAGGACGUUGAUAGGUGGGGUGUGGAAGCGCGGUAACGCGUGAAGCUAACCCAUACUAAUUGCCCGUGAGGCUUGACUCUAU
Molecule: ribosomal RNA, 2898 nt
Filed under: Neisseria gonorrhoeae ATL_2011_05-08
Lineage: Bacteria; Pseudomonadati; Pseudomonadota; Betaproteobacteria; Neisseriales; Neisseriaceae
Also listed under: 1 other name
Description: bacterial LSU rRNA
Rfam family: Bacterial large subunit ribosomal RNA
Source: RNAcentral